This 445-nucleotide ribosomal RNA is filed under the name uncultured bacterium. Its description in RNAcentral is "partial 16S ribosomal RNA". It matches the Rfam family "Bacterial small subunit ribosomal RNA", at positions 354 to 796 of the family's 1533-position model. The record is from RNAcentral.
GUGAGGAAUAUUGCGCAAUGGAGGCAACUCUGACGCAGCCAUGCCGCGUGCAGGAAGAAGGCGCUACGCGUUUUAAACUGCUUUUAACCGGGAAGAAACCCCAGGACGUGUCCUGGGUUGACGGUACCGGAGGAAUAAGCACCGGCUAACUUCGUGCCAGCAGCCGCGGUAAUACGAAGGGUGCAAGCGUUAUCCGGAUUCAUUGGGUUUAAAGGGUGCGUAGGCGGAGCGUUAAGUCAGUGGUGAAAUCCUGCAGCUUAACUGUAGACUUGCCAUUGAUACUGGCGCUCUUGAGUGCGCUUGAAGUGGGCGGAAUGUGCCGUGUAGCGGUGAAAUGCUUAGAUAUGGCACAGAACACCAAUUGCGAAGGCAGCUCACUAAGGCGAUACUGACGCUGAGGCACGAAAGCGUGGGGAUCGAACAGGAUUAGAUACCCGUGUAGUCC